AUGGGCCGGGAUGAGAAGUCUACACAUGAACCCUAUUCUUUAAACAAUAGGGGCUGGCAGGAUGGGGAGGGCGGAAUGAGGAAAUUACCUAGAGAGUCGUCGCUGGUGGCUUCAAUUGGGGAGACAAGAGGGUCGGGUUCUCAGGGGGAGGGUCGGUGCGGUGGAUCCCAUCUCGGCCGGUGGGGCGGCCUGCUCCAAUCUGCCGUCAUAGGUCGCUGCAAUCUGGGAGAAGAGGGGCUGCUCGCGGGGCAAGUUGUUGCGCUGGAUCCAAGGCCCGAGCACGGCCUGAGCGCAGGGCGGCCUCCCCAAAAGUGCCAUCGCCGGUCGCUGCAAUCUAGAGAAGAAGAGAGCCAGAUGAAUCUAGCUAUGAAGAAAAUUUGGGGUGGGUUGUGGAUGGAUGCGGGGGGGAAUUAG
RNAcentral lists this ribosomal RNA (414 nucleotides) under Triticum aestivum (bread wheat). Its description in RNAcentral is "partial small subunit ribosomal RNA". The record is from RNAcentral. Lineage: Eukaryota; Viridiplantae; Streptophyta; Magnoliopsida; Poales; Poaceae.